This 327-nucleotide long non-coding RNA is filed under the name Triticum aestivum (bread wheat). RNAcentral describes it as "long non-coding RNA (TAES_LNC000573)". Lineage: Eukaryota; Viridiplantae; Streptophyta; Magnoliopsida; Poales; Poaceae. The record is from RNAcentral.
UCACUUUAUUUACAUAUAUGACAUACAAGGAGAGCCAUAACAAUUUCCUUGUCGAAAUAACUUGUAAACACAUUAUAUCUUUAUUAUAUUAUUUGGAUCUCAUCUCAGACUAUAAAGCUUUACUACAUAGUACAACCACCAGGUCCGCCAUAAUAAAACAUUUACUACAUAGUACAACCACCAGGUCCGCCAUAAUAAAACAUUUCGUCUACAGAUAGAACGGCUCCAUAGCAUUUUUUGUGGGAGAUAGAAGCAAAAAGGCCCCCGGGCCAUGGAUCAAUUUUGUAGCCUCUACCAGUGUCAUCAACAAAUCUAACAUCUCGAACA